GACGAACGCUGGCGGCGUGCCUAAUACAUGCAAGUCGAACGCAGUGGGGACGGGUGAGUAACACGUGGGUAACCUCCCAUCAGAGGGGAUAACACUUGGAAACAGGUGCUAAACCGAUACUGAUGGAUGACCCCUCGGUGCAUUAGCGAGUGGGUGAGGUAACGGCUCACCAAGGCCACGAUGCAUAGCUGGUCUGAGAGGGUGAUCAGCCACACUGGGACUGAGGCACGGCCCAGACUCCUACGGGAGGCAGCAGUGGGGAAUCUUCGGCAAUGGACGAAAGUCUGACGGAGCAAUGCCGCGUGAGUGAAGAAGGUCUUCGGGUCGUAAAACACUGUUGUCAGAGAAGCGGUAUCUAAACAGAAAGCAACGGCUAACUACGUGCCAGCAGCCGCGGUAAUUC
Molecule: ribosomal RNA, 403 nt
Filed under: uncultured bacterium
Lineage: Bacteria
Description: partial 16S ribosomal RNA
Rfam family: Bacterial small subunit ribosomal RNA
Source: RNAcentral